RNAcentral lists this ribosomal RNA (762 nucleotides) under uncultured Prevotella sp. Its description in RNAcentral is "bacterial SSU rRNA". It matches the Rfam family "Bacterial small subunit ribosomal RNA", at positions 28 to 776 of the family's 1533-position model. The record is from RNAcentral. Lineage: Bacteria; Pseudomonadati; Bacteroidota; Bacteroidia; Bacteroidales; Prevotellaceae.
GAUGAACGCUAGCUAUAGGCUUAACACAUGCAAGUCGAGGGGAAACGGCAAAGAGUGCUUGCACACUUUGGACGUCGACCGGCGCACGGGUGAGUAACGCGUAUCCAACCUGCCCUUUACUUGGGGAUAACCCGUUGAAAGACGGACUAAUACCCAAUGAUAUUCAUUGAUGACAUCUGAUUUGAAUUAAAGAUUUAUCGGUAUAGGAUGGGGAUGCGUCUGAUUAGCUUGUUGGUGAGGUAACGGCUCACCAAGGCAACGAUCAGUAGGGGUUCUGAGAGGAAGGUCCCCCACAUUGGAACUGAGACACGGUCCAAACUCCUACGGGAGGCAGCAGUGAGGAAUAUUGGUCAAUGGACGAGAGUCUGAACCAGCCAAGUAGCGUGCAGGAUGACGGCCCUAUGGGUUGUAAACUGCUUUUGUUUGGGAAUAAUCGACAUUACGUGUAAUGUUUUGCAUGUACCAUUCGAAUAAGGACCGGCUAAUUCCGUGCCAGCAGCCGCGGUAAUACGGAAGGUCCAGGCGUUAUCCGGAUUUAUUGGGUUUAAAGGGAGUGUAGGCGGNUGGUUAAGCGUGUUGUGAAAUGUAGAUGCUCAACAUCUGACUUGCAGCGCGAACUGGCUGACUUGAGUACACACAANGUANGCGGAAUUCAUGGUGUAGCGGUGAAAUGCNUUAGAUAUCAUGNAGAACUCCGAUUGCGAAGGCAGCUUACGGGAGUGUUACUGACGCUUAAGCUCNAANNUGCGGGUAUCGAACAGG